ACGGCUCAGUAACACGUGGACAACCUACCCUAUGGAGGGGGAUAACCCCGGGAAACUGGGGAUAAUACCCCAUAGACUAUAGAUGCUGGAAUGCUUUGUAGUUGAAAGGUCCGCCGCCAUAGGAUGGGUCUGCGGCCGAUUAGGUUGUUGUUGGGGUAACGGCCCAACAAGCCUGUAAUCGGUACGGGUUGUGGGAGCAAGAGCCCGGAGAUGGAUUCUGAGACACGAAUCCAGGCCCUACGGGGCGCAGCAGCGCGAAAACUUUACAAUGCGGGAAACCGUGAUAAGGGAACUCCGAGUGCCCGUAAAAUCGGGCUGUCCAUCUGUUUAAAUAACAGGUGAAGAAAGGGCCGGGCAAGACCGGUGCCAGCCGCCGCGGUAAUACCGGCGGCUCGAGUGGUGGCCACUAUUACUGGGCUUAAAGCGUUCGUAGCUGGUCUGUUAAGUCUCUGGGGAAAUCUACUGGCUUAACCAAUAGGCGUCUCAGGGAUACUGGCAGACUAGGGACCGGGAGAGGUGAGAGGUACUCCAGGGGUAGGAGUGAAAUCCUGUAAUCCUUGGGGGACCACCUGUGGCGAAGGCGUCUCACCAGAACGGCUCCGACAGUGAGGGACGAAAGCUGGGGGAGCAAACCGGAUUAGA
Molecule: ribosomal RNA, 642 nt
Filed under: uncultured archaeon
Lineage: Archaea
Description: bacterial SSU rRNA
Rfam family: Archaeal small subunit ribosomal RNA
Source: RNAcentral